CAGCAGCCACGGUAAUACGUAGGUCCCGAGCGUUGUCCGGAUUUAUUGGGCGUAAAGCGAGCGCAGGCGGUUAGAUAAGUCUGAAGUUAAAGGCAGUGGCUUAACCAUAGUACGCUUUGGAAACUGUUUAACUUGAGUGCAAGAGGGGAGAGUGGAAUUCCAUGUGUAGCGGUGAAAUGCGUAGAUAUAUGGAGGAACACCGGUGGCGAAAGCGGCUCUCUGGCUUGUAACUGACGCUGAGGCUCGAAAGCGUGGGGAGCAAACAGGAUUAGAUACCCGCGUAGUCCCUGUCUCUUAUACA
RNAcentral lists this ribosomal RNA (301 nucleotides) under uncultured bacterium. RNAcentral describes it as "partial 16S ribosomal RNA". It matches the Rfam family "Bacterial small subunit ribosomal RNA", at positions 509 to 808 of the family's 1533-position model. The record is from RNAcentral.